AACAACGACCAUUAAAGAAAAUACUUCUUUAAGAUUAUAAAUAUUAUCUUUCUAGGCGUUUCGGCACUUAUUAUUUUACAUUAUAAGAAUUUGUUUUACAUUCGAAACAUGUAUUGUGCAGCUCAAUGUUUUUAUCAUUUAAUAUGUACUGUUUGUUCAGCAACAACGUAAAAAAUGAGUCACGUUUUUAUAUAGGAUACGAGGUAUCGUGCAAUUCAAUGUAAAAUUAAAUAAAAAUUCUCCUGGCGUUAUGCCCGUCUGUGACUGGAAUGACAUUUCAUUAUUCUCGGUUAAUAUUUACUCGACUUUAUGAUAGACUCGGGUAGAUCUUGCAAGAUCUUGCAAUCAAGCGACUUUUUGUGUUUCUGUGUGUGUAUAAACUCCCGCUAUGCAAGAUUGAACAUCACAGAUGUUUUUGAUGCCUAAUUAUGUUACAAAUGUGUUCAAUAUCAAAAAUUACCUGCUGUUAAUUUUGAAUUAACAUUCAAGACAAGAUGAUGUCACCAACCAGUAGAUUAAAUCGCGUAUAGGUUUAAGGAUUUUUAUACGCUGUGUGUUCGAAAGAAACAUGCAUGACCUUUGCAUUAUGUUUUGAUACUUAUUGAAUAAUGGUAUAAAAUAGAAAUUUAAUAUUAAAAUAAAACCUUUUUACAU
Long non-coding RNA from Pieris napi, 654 nucleotides. RefSeq lists it as uncharacterized. Lineage: Eukaryota; Metazoa; Arthropoda; Insecta; Lepidoptera; Pieridae. The transcript has 2 exons. The record is from RefSeq and is a predicted model, not a curated record.